This 1070-nucleotide long non-coding RNA is filed under the name Helianthus annuus (common sunflower). RNAcentral's name for it is "hypothetical non coding rna". Lineage: Eukaryota; Viridiplantae; Streptophyta; Magnoliopsida; Asterales; Asteraceae. The record is from RNAcentral.
UUGUAAGAACUAGGUUCACGUUUUAUUAAAAAAAAUAUUAAUAAAAUAAAUAUAAUAACGAGACUCUCGUUAUUUGUGAGAAAUUCGACUAAUACAAUACCGGUUACAAUACUAAAUAAACGAAUAUAAAAUACAACUAAAUUGUACCAAUCUUGAUUCAAAGCCAAUGUCUUUGAAAACUUCAACCGCACCUACGAGAUCGAAACUCCGCUGCAAGAUGAUGCGUGUGUAGUGUAUAUAUAAUUUAGAUAUAUAAUUAAGCCCUUUUUACACCUUUAGCCAAGUUUUAAAUUUAUAAAACACGAUAUUUACUAACACUAAACACACAUAUGGGCAAGUGCACCCAUCGUGGACGUAGUAUAGUGUUGGUAGGAUACCGAGGUCGUCCAAGGACACAAGAGCUUUUAGUACCGGUUUAUCCUCAACGUCUAAUCAAAUCAAAAAGUUAGAAAAUGUUUUUAAACUAAGAAAAUAAAAACUAACUAAAUGCUGAAAAAUAAAAAUAAAAUAAAAACAGAUAGACAAGAUGAAUCACUUGGAUCCGACUCGUGUGCCCCUCUUUUGAAGGCGACGUUACCCUCAACCCAGUAGUUUGAUUCAGCAAGGAUACAAUCCUAAAGGGUUGGAUUAUUGGAAGAUAAUGAAUUAAGUUAUUAAUGCAAAUUAUGGUAGGCCCCGCUUUUGGCGGUGACGUUACCCUCGGCUAAGUAGUCUGAGUCAGCAGGGAUACAGUCCUAAAUAGCCGGGUUAUAGUAUUAAUAGUAGUUAACUUAUGAGGGGGUCGAAGAGUUUGGAUCCCCGCCAUCCAAUACCUAUGGGCAUUGAAGGAGAUCCUACUAAAUUUGACCCAGGUCCCUUGCAUGACCUCUAAACGCUGAACAAGGGCAAGACCCUUACCAAACCGUUCCCUUAACCCCCGACCAGGUAGCCAACAUACCUCCAUAUAGACCGUGGAGAUAUGAAUGGUGAAAAUCUUUUAUUUUAUACAGACAGUAAAAUAAUGCCAAGACACCACGGACAAACGAUAAGAAAGAUCACCUUCAACAUAAGCAACUAGUUAUUAAAGUCAU